AGAUGACCUCGCAGAGCCGCGAGGUCGGUAAAAUAAAAAAAGCUCACUGAGA
Molecule: non-coding RNA, 52 nt
Submitted as: unclassified sequences
Source: Rfam